Molecule: ribosomal RNA, 450 nt
Filed under: Bacillus cereus
Lineage: Bacteria; Bacillati; Bacillota; Bacilli; Caryophanales; Bacillaceae
Description: bacterial SSU rRNA
Rfam family: Bacterial small subunit ribosomal RNA
Source: RNAcentral
UUUAUUGGAGAGUUUGAUCCUGGCUCAGGAUGAACGCUGGCGGCGUGCCUAAUACAUGCAAGUCGAGCGAAUGGAUUGAGAGCUUGCUCUCAAGAAGUUAGCGGCGGACGGGUGAGUAACACGUGGGUAACCUGCCCAUAAGACUGGGAUAACUCCGGGAAACCGGGGCUAAUACCGGAUAAUAUUUUGAACUGCAUGGUUCGAAAUUGAAAGGCGGCUUCGGCUGUCACUUAUGGAUGGACCCGCGUCGCAUUAGCUAGUUGGUGAGGUAACGGCUCACCAAGGCAACGAUGCGUAGCCGACCUGAGAGGGUGAUCGGCCACACUGGGACUGAGACACGGCCCAGACUCCUACGGGAGGCAGCAGUAGGGAAUCUUCCGCAAUGGACGAAAGUCUGACGGAGCAACGCCGCGUGAGUGAUGAAGGCUUUCGGGUCGUAAAACUCUGUUG